AAAGAAGCAUAUUCCACCCUUUAUUCCAUACCAUUUAUGUCAUGUUCAGGUCCCAUGGUAUCCACACAAGCUUAUUAAACACCAGCCCACUGCCCAUCUUUUGAUAUCAUUCCCCUAGUCUUUCGACCAUGGUGUAAAAUGUCCAUAAAAUGCCCACAAAUGUCCACAAAGCGAGCAUUCAGUUCAUUUAGUCCAUGCCUUUGGGCCCCAUGGCACGGUGUCACUCAGGGCUGGAGAAGUGGUGUUUGUGGGGAGUUGCUGGGCACCCGAGGCAGCCCAGGUCAGGUCACUGCUGCCCUGCAACUGCUUCUUGUGUAGUUCCUCCACUGGUCCAGGUGGUUCCUGAUGUAGUAAUUCCCAUAACCUGCAACUCAGAUCCUGGGUUAUAACAAUUUUAAGAUAUUUCCAUGUCAAUCUCCACCUCUUUUGGUGGACCUGACUAUUGGGUUUAACGCUGCAGUGAACUCUUCCCUCCUUCCCUGCCCUUGCUCCAGCUUGGAUUUAACCACAGACUGGAGUCCCUUAGGGGUGUCCCUGCUCCAAGUGGAGCUUUAUCCAUGAGCCACAGUCUCCACAGGAAUAUACCUGCUGUGGCACAGAUUUAUCCAGAACCAGCUCGGAGUUGCACCUGCUCCAGUGUGGCCACAACACCUGCAGAGACACACCUGCUCCAGCAUGGCAUUAUCUCUCGGGGUCCAUGUCGAGUUUGACCCCGAGAAUGUAAAAGCCUUUUUCUCCCAGCCCAUGCUGCCAAAGGAGUCUGGAAUGCGCAGGGUCGGUUCUCAAGGCUGUUUAUUUUCUCUUAGCUAGAACAUUCUUUCUCUGACCUGCUGAGCUCUGUCUGGCAGGUCGGCUGUGGCAUUCUGUCUGCCCUCUAGGGUGGUGGUUACAUUUUAUACCAAAAACUACGAGUGCUAUGUUUGCAACAAUGUGCCAAUAUCUAUCGUUUAUGUUGGACAGUGUGUCUCUACCUUAAAGCAGUAGAAAAGUGUCAUCAUCACAGCAAGACAUGGAGGGCAAGAAGAAAAGAAAGAGAUCAGGACACGCCCAAAUCCCUCCAUCUUGUCCCCUUGAACCCUUAUUUUAAAACCCUAAAAUUCUACUUUUUCACCCUGUGUUAUUUCAACUAUCACACUACUGAGACCCUUGUGGCUUGUAAUUCCUCAUACAAAGUUGGCAGUUUUUUCCACAGGCUACAAUCAAAGCCACGGGUGUUUUUGACUUUGUGCCAAGGUCUCCGAGCCCCCUGCCAGGGUCUGGAGCCAGCCAGGGCAGCCAGAGGGAUGUCCUGGGUUCCCACAAUUAUCCUCAGACACAUUCCCUUUGGGAGUGUGCUUCAACAGGGCCCUACCCCUGCCUCCAUCCCUCUGUGUGUGCUAAUCCAUGGCCAGUUUCAGGUGCUCCAGCAUGGCCUCACGCACAGCCAUGCAUGUUCAAGGUGCACCUGCUGCAGCACGGACAGCAGCAGCUGCCCUGAGAUGUCCCUUCUCCAGAGUGGAUUUAUCCCUUUGGAGGCACAGCUUUUGCAGGAUGGACAUGCCCACAGCCACACACUUCCAGAAGUACCUGCCCUGGCGUGGAGUUAUCAGACACUUUGGGGUAUCCUAUUCCUGUGUGGACUCAUGCCCAGGUCCCAGCACCUCUGACUGGAGCUCACCUGGAGUCCCAACCUGCCCAGCCAGCCCAGCACAGAUGCAGCAGCGGUGCCACAUCUCCCUGGCUGUUCUCCAGGUGUUCCAGGCACAGCUCAGUGAGAUGAUCGGCACCACAGCCAGCAGGGAACGCCAAAAACUGCCACUAAUGAGCACAAGACUGCAAUCUGAGCGUGAGCCGAGCCCCCAGCAAGCACCAGAGCUGCCAAUUAACAGCUCAACAGCACUCACACCUAUAGAUUCCACCCAGCACAUUCCAAUAGAACCUGUCACUAUCUUGAACGCUUGGGACACCACAGCAGGCAGCAAAAAGGACUCCUGUGGGCUGCUGCACACACAGGCAAAGCAAACCAGGGGAUUAAUUCCCCACUUCCUAUGGGCAGGGAGGUGCUCAGCCAUACCCAGGACAGUCAGGCUCCGUCAUGGUAACAGGGACUUGGGCAGAUAAUUGUCAUCACUCAGAAUAUCCCCCACUUCCUCUUUCUUCCCUGGCUUUACAUUAUGGUCUGGGAUGUCCCUGGGCUCAGCUGUGCUCAGCUGUCCACAGUGUCACCCCCCAGCUCCUUGUGCACUCCUCUUGCUGGGGGAGUGAGGAGCAGAAGAGCCCUGGCUGUGCCAGCCCUGCUCAGUAACUAAAACACCUCUGAGUUAUCAGCAGUUUCCAGCACAGAUCCCAAGCACAGCCUACACCACCUACUCUGAGGAGAAUUAACCCCACCCCAGCCCAAAGCAGCACCAUGUUAUUAACCCAGCAGUGUGCCAGCUGUGUCUAGACACUCCACAUGGAGACACCAACUGAUUUUCUGUACAUACCUGUAGCAGAAGCUGACAGCCCUUUCAUACAAUUCCCAAACUGAAUAAAAUGAGAAAUCUGGGUUCAGAGUGCAAUUAGUGCUUCUUGUGGGCACAGAAUUUAUGGCAUUCCUCCUGAAGCCUUCUCAGGGGCAGGCAGGACCUCCUGCCUCCUCUUCCUGGAGUACAGAGAGAAUUUUGGCUGGAGUCUGUGACCAUGUUGGAGAUGCAGUACGCCCACAAAACAUCAGCUGCUGCUACUGGGCAGAGGAACAAACACUUUCAGAGCCCAAGGAUACCCAUUUCCCCCAGCAUAUGUGAGCUUUAGCUGUACCAACACCCACUCUGAGCCGUGCUGGGAGCCCCUGCUCACAUGGGGGGACCAUGGGCGAAUGAAUCCAUUGGCAGAAGAGAGCAGGAGUUUGAGACCAGCACAGCCUAUGUGCAUCUGUGCUUGGCUGCUCUCCUGCACCAGCCACUUCAAAGACCAAGCCCAGAGGGGACCCACAAGGCAUAGGAGGACAUCCCCUCACAUUUUGCAAAGGAAACAGUGGGGAAAAGUCCCAUUCCAGCUGUGCUGCACAGAAACAGUCACAGCCAGUUCAGCAGCUCUCCAUGUAUGUGUCAGGGGGUCCCAUUUUGACCCAAACCCAGGCUGGGAUGGCUGUGAAGGAGGUGCUAAGGCACAGCAGAUGGAUGAGCUGCUUGAUCAGGUCCUGGGAUCUGGUAACAUCACCUGAAUGAGAGGCAGUUUUAGUUUGCUCCAUGACUGGAUACCAAUAGCUUUUGGAGCUUUCAUGUUUUAACAGGGCAGAGCACUUAAAAUCCUUAGGAACUGCAGCUGGAGAACUAAAAAUCCAUAGAAAAAUCAUUCGUUUGAAGCUCACUGAUUUGCUGUGGCCUGUCUCUGAGACAUUGCUUCUUUGUCCCUUUGCUUUCUUUCCCCCAUAUUAUGGAGAGAACAUUAUCCCCUGCAAUGCUCCCUGAUUCUGAAUUUUGGAAAGAAAAAGCCAUGUGCAAGGAGAAAUGUGGUAAGAGACCCUUGUAGGCAGGGCCACACUUUCAGGUGCCAAAAGGACACCUCCUGCCCUCUACUCUGCCUCCAUUCCCCACAGACACAAGGAAAAUGAAGGUGAGACACCCAGAAAUGAUGGGAAUGAACCCAACAGUGAAGCAAUCCAGGAACACCUGAACUGAGUUGGGCCAUUUUGCAUGUGAAUCCUUCUGGUGUUAGUGCUUAUGGGCCCCCCAAGAGCAACUAUGGGAAAAAGGGAGAAAACCUGCCCAAUUUGCCUCUGGAGCAGGCCUCAUGUUCAGAACUGGGUUCCCAGUCAGAGAAGUGUGACGAGAAUGGGGUGAUGGGAGAGGGAAGUGCAACAGAAAUGGUUGGACAUUUGACAGCAGCAUCCUGAAACUCCAGUCUUGCAACACACAGCUGGUGGAUUAUAAAUUCAUAAUUUGCAUACUUUGAAAUAUUUUAAUGAGCUACUCAUAUAUGGCCAUACCUGCUGCUGGAACGGCUGGAGAAAGAACAUGAAUUUCGCACUGCGGGCUCCUCUGACAACAGAUUAUAGGAAAAAAUCACAAGCCAAAUAUUAGCCCCUAACAAGACAGACAAAUUACAUUGAUAUUUAUAUAGGACUAACAAUAAAAGGCCUGUAGAAGGUUACCAGAGCUCUGCUUCAUAUAGCACAGAUUAUGAUUAAUUACAGAUUCAAACCUUUGUUGCAAGAGAUCAGAGCCUUUUGCCCUUAGGAGGGAAAAAGAUGAAUGUAAUUUCUUCUUCUGACACUCCUCCCUCUUUCCACUGUGGCACAGAAACACCACAAUACUCAUCUGUCUUCAUUUCUCUUAAGUGCCCAGGGAAAAGGAACAAAGGCUUGAACUACAGAGUUGCAGCUCCCACUUGUGAAGCUCCAGCUGACUUGGUGGAACAAACCAUAAAACUCACAGGUCUGGGAUUUAUGCUGAGUCCCAGGAGCACAAAUCCCUCUGGGUGUGAGAAAAGCUGUGGAUGAGGGCUGAGCCUGCUGUGUGCUCGUGGGUGUCAGGAACUGCCAAUCAAGGGUGUAAAAACAACAGGGCACACAGAGAGAGGUCAGGCACUGAUCCGGAAGGAUGGAGAAGAUAAUUGGAUCUUAUCUGCAUCUGCUCUGAGCAACUGCUGCCAGCCUGCCUGGACUGUGGGGGAGAUGAGGUUCACCCCUGUGUCACUGUUUCACAGACAAUUCUUGUGUUCCAGGAUUUCCAACAGACCAAAAGAGAAUAAGACAGGACAAGGGUGAGGCUAUCCUAAUUACAGCCAAGGCUGGUCAGAGAGGUCCCUAAAUGGCCUUGGAACAGGGGGAGGUUUUGCCAUUCACCUUCUGGGCCCUAGGUUUGUCCUAAUCCAGGACCAAGGUGGGAGAAAGCUAGAAGAAGAGCAAACAAUGUGAAAAACGCAUCACUGAUUAUGGGGGACAAACACAGAAAAAAGAACAGGGGAUGUGAGAAGGAAAUAUUUGCAAAUGGCUUGAGAGGGCACUGGAGGAAAAUGUGGUACCAAGACUCUGAAUUCCUUCUGAAGGACAGAAAUUGAAAAACAAAACAAAAGGAUGAGAUCCCAACAUGAAUCCUCGCUUCUUUUCCUUGUGGCCUCAGCAAAUCUCACUCUGCUGCCACCUGCCAGGGGCCUUGGGAUGUUCCACCAGAGACAGCCAUCACAUUAUCAGGGCCCCUGAAGCCUGAAAGACACAAUAAACAGCCAGUGCUGGUGUAUCAGCAUCCCAUGGGCCAUGGGACUCCUCAUCCCGUGUGUC
Molecule: long non-coding RNA, 5242 nt
Organism: Taeniopygia guttata (zebra finch)
Lineage: Eukaryota; Metazoa; Chordata; Aves; Passeriformes; Estrildidae
Source: Ensembl